AGGGGUGAAAGGUAGUUAAUGAUCAAGCUUUAAUUACUAAAAACAUCGGACUAACGGUUGAAGGAACAGGUGGCACUAGCCACCAUAAAUUUUGAGAUUAAAGUU
This 105-nucleotide small RNA is filed under the name Cryptosporidium parvum. Lineage: Eukaryota; Apicomplexa; Conoidasida; Eucoccidiorida; Cryptosporidiidae. The record is from RNAcentral.